Kwoniella shivajii is the source of this 88-nucleotide non-coding RNA. NCBI's taxonomy places the organism in Eukaryota, Fungi, Basidiomycota, Tremellomycetes, Tremellales, Cryptococcaceae. The record is from the annotation of a RefSeq genome assembly.
GCCCGUGUGGCUUAAUGGUUAAAGUUCCCGACUCUUAAGCUGAUUCCAGCUGAUCGGGCGAUUGCGGGUUCGAGUCCCGCCAUGGGCU